Molecule: long non-coding RNA, 1210 nt
Filed under: Vulpes vulpes (red fox)
Lineage: Eukaryota; Metazoa; Chordata; Mammalia; Carnivora; Canidae
Description: lncRNA (ENSVVUG00000005885.1)
Source: RNAcentral
GCAUGUGAAGAACAUUAGGACUGAAAAGGAUGAGAGUGAUAUCAGGAAGAUUGUGUCUUCAAAAGUAAAGUGCUACAGGGGACACAAAGAAGGCUGUCAAGGGGCUCUCAGGCCACAGCAGGAUGGAAUCAGGAGGCAGACACAAAGAAGGUCCUGGACAAAUGGAGACGAUACUUGUACUGCUACCGGUAGUUUGAUGAACUAGAGUCCCAGUGCCAGCAGUACCACUUUCUAGCUGUGACCUCUUAGAGAAGUCAGCCUUUCUAAGCUCAAUUUUACUUCUGAAAAAUGAGGUAAUAAUAAGUCUGUCAUUGAAUCAUUGUGAAGUUCAAGAUAUGUGGUUGAAAGGAGGAAGAGGUAAAGGAAUCCACCACAGCCUGUGAAACAAGAAAGGGAUCUAUCCCUACAGGUUCUGAAAAAUUCCUGGGAGAUAGAAAGCAGAUGGGAUCAGACUAUAGAAACAUAAGGGCAGGAAAAUACCACAGCCCCCAACAUAGACAAUAGAAAACUACUGUGGAAGUAAUACAAAUUCCAGAAAUAUUUAAAGCUCAGACUCAACAAAUAGAGAGAUCAGGAGGGGCUUUGGGGCAACCAUAAGGUUAAUUAAUAAAAACUUAGUAUUUGGAACAGUUGAGCCCACUAGGUCCCUUUCCCUCCCCACACCUACUGCGCAGAGAGCAUGGGUGAUGCUUAGAUGUGGGAUAAGACCUCCAGAGGGGAGAGACAACCCAGAGAGGCAGAACAGAGCUGGAAGUCACCCAUACAUCUAAGGAAAAAAGAAAGAAAAAAGAAGGUGCCUGAUUUGUGUAUUUGCUGCCGGAAUGAACUCUGAGCACAGCUGUCUCGAGCAGAAGGAGUCCUGACCCAGGAAACUCAGAUGGACAGGCUCUAGAAGCAAUUAUGAACACAGCUCCUGCCCAGAAGUUCUGCAGAUGUAUUAUAUAUGCAGGCCCCCAGAUUUUCAGCCAGCCCUUCAAUAACUCAUCUUGGGCACUGGGCACUGUUUUAGAACAAUUGAGAAGUUGCAGCAGUGGCAGACCUCGCAGGACCAUAGGAGAACCCAGAACCAGUGGAACUUGCUACUUAACUACUCUAAGUUGUGAGCUGCCAACUAUUACCAAGGCCACCUGUUUGCAUGAAUUGUGUUCAUAAAGUCAAACAUGUUGAAGAAGAUAGGAGGGAAAUAUUCUUGCUAUGGACUUCAUUGUGC